CAAAGAAAGCUUAUAUAAUGACUUCUACCAACUUUUAAGUCUUUUGGUUCCAUACUCUCGCCGAUGCAGGAUGUAAGUAUUCUAUUGAUCGAAUAGCCGUCUCUUUAUUUCCUCUGACUAGAUUUUCCACUUGGUACAAAAAAUACUAUUCACAACGUUGGUUGAAAUCUAUACUUGACAAGUUAUUUUACAAGCAUGUGGUUUCAAAUACGAUGUUCCCUGAUCCAUACGACACGUAAAUGUGUUCUGAUUACAUAUUUUCCUUGUUGUUUUGGACUGCUAUGUCGGACGUCAGCGAGUUGUGAAUUGUAUUGUUGUCUACCACUAGUCUGUGAUAUGUGUUAGGUAUGUCUGAUUAGAAUAUUGGUGUUGCACAACUUAUGAUGGUGUACUAUUCCACCACCUGUCAAAUACAAGCAAAAGGUAGCAAAGACAUGGGUUUGAGUUGUUUGUUAAAAAUUAUCAACCUAACUUUAUCCCUUUUUAGUACUGGUUACUUGUGUGGUAAACCCUUCAUGAAUUACAAGCUAUCUUUGAGCAUCAUAUUCAUUAAUCUUUUUGUAAGGUUUUCUUAUUUUAGGGUAUCUCAAAUUAAACGAACUUAAUACUAAUCUCCCAAAAUUAUGAGACUCAAGAAUUGGGGUGGUCACUUGAGUGGUAAACUCUUCAUGAAUUGCAAGUUUUAAUCCUUGAACGUCAAUGUCUUUUCUGCAAGGUUUUCUUCUUCUAGAGGAUCUCAAAUUAAAAGAACUUUCUUCGAUUUUUAAAAAAGUUCAUUGGUGUUGAAUCUUGGAUAGUUUUGGUGCAAUUCUUAUUAUUACAGUGUUUAGCAGGUUUUUCUGAUUCUGGAGGCUAUGUUGGAUUAGUUGGGUAUGUUUUGGACAGGUCCACAACAGGAAGGUCGCUAGAGAGAUUUCCUGCUUUUGAUCUCAUGAAGAUCUUUCUACUUGUGCCUGUUAUCUGUGGUGCAUGUGGUUUCGAUCACGUCAGAAAGUUCGGGUGUCAAUGGCGAUACGGUUUUCUUAGCUUCGAAUGUUGGGCAUUUGCAAGGAAAAUCAUAAUCAGUGAAUGAAAGGCAAAUUGGACGAAUUUUGUUUAUGUAUCUACAUCUCCGACAUAUUUUCUGGUGAAGACAUAGUAAAAUCCGUUGACGAGGUUACUCCCACCGGCUGUUAAUAAUAUACGAAUCAAAAUAUGGCAAAGGGCUCUUGAAUCUCGUGCUAAACUUUAUGGAUAUUUGUUAGAAACGAAAUUUGUUAAGUCAAAUAACACUAUUGACAAUAUUGAUGAUGGUGAAUCUAAACAGGAAGUUGCCAUUUUGGUGGGAAAGAAACAUUGAUGCAAGUUAGAAGGGUGUCCGAAGUUUUCUCCUUACAUUUAUUUUCACAUCUGUGGUAUUCCAAAAAAGAAUUUAUUUCCGUGUUUUCUGUGGCUUCGUUUACUGUUGACUUGUUAUAAGUUUGUCGCGUGUUAUGUAGUUAAUUUUUUCGUCAGAGAAAUUAUGUGCUUUCCGGAAAGGACACGAAGGGAAAUCAAGCUCUAUGAUAAUAUCUGUGCCAAAGGCUUGUUUCCAAAAUCCUAAUUGGCGAUCAGACACUUUGAAUUUGUAGUGAAAAGUAUCGAUGUAUCAACUAUGCCUUUGGUGAUAUAUCCGGAAGACUAAAUCAGUCAGGGUAUUCAUCUGCACAUCUACAUCUCAUAUUUGAUAUGCAAUCGAUGACAAUGUUUUAUGUAUGAUAACUUAACAAAAAUAAACCUUAAAUAGCUUCAUUAUA
Molecule: long non-coding RNA, 1775 nt
Filed under: Daphnia magna
Lineage: Eukaryota; Metazoa; Arthropoda; Branchiopoda; Diplostraca; Daphniidae
Description: uncharacterized LOC116928984, transcript variant X2
Source: RNAcentral